UACGUGAGUGGCGAGCGUUAUCCGGAAUCAUUGGGCGUAAAGCGUCUGUAGGGGGACAGGCAAGUGAGUUGUAAAAGACCUUGGCUCAACCAAGGGAGAGCAGCUUAUACUAUCUGUCUUGAAGGAGGUAGAGGCAAACGGAAUUCCCGGUGUAGGGGUUAUAUCCGUAGAUACCGGGAGGAACACCAAUAGCGAAGGCAGUUUGCUGGGCCUUUCUUGACCCUGAGAGACGAAAGCGUGGGGAGCGAACCGG
RNAcentral lists this ribosomal RNA (253 nucleotides) under uncultured bacterium. RNAcentral describes it as "partial 16S ribosomal RNA". It matches the Rfam family "Bacterial small subunit ribosomal RNA", at positions 524 to 776 of the family's 1533-position model. The record is from RNAcentral.